RNAcentral lists this long non-coding RNA (395 nucleotides) under Salvia miltiorrhiza (redroot sage). RNAcentral's name for it is "long non-coding RNA (SMIL_LNC012135)". Lineage: Eukaryota; Viridiplantae; Streptophyta; Magnoliopsida; Lamiales; Lamiaceae. The record is from RNAcentral.
GAUUCUAGAAAAUUUGAGCUGAUUCUCGGAUUAGUCUAUUGAUGAUGCUUGAAAAUAAGUAAAAAAUUGUUUUAGCAGAAAAAUAACAGAAAAAAACCAAUUCCUUUGUGGGUAUGAAGAAAAAGUUCACAUAUACAAUAGUCUAUUUCCUGAUCAUUAAAAUAUACUAAAUUCAUUUUUUUGGUUGCUUUUGCAGAUCCAAGAGAUAAUCACUUUCAUGCUUUCAUGCUCUAUUGAUAGAUACAGAUCUUCAUCUUCAUCUUGAAAGAAAAAUUCAGAAAAAUAUCAGCCUCUUCAUGUAUAAAUUAGAAAUAAUUGUUGUAAUAAUCUCUUAGUAUCUCUAUUGUAAAUGUGACUAAUAGUUAGCCAAAAGCAAAAAAUAAAUAAAAGUACUA